This 440-nucleotide ribosomal RNA is filed under the name uncultured bacterium. RNAcentral's name for it is "partial 16S ribosomal RNA". It matches the Rfam family "Bacterial small subunit ribosomal RNA", at positions 338 to 795 of the family's 1533-position model. The record is from RNAcentral.
CCUACGGGCGGCAGCAGUGGGGAAUAUUGCACAAUGGGGGAAACCCUGAUGCAGCGACGCCGCGUGAAGGAAGAAGUAUUUCGGUAUGUAAACUUCUAUCAGCAGGGAAGAAAAUGACGUUACCUGACUAAGAAUCCCCGGCUAACUACGUGCCAGCAGCCGCGGUAAUACUUAGGGGGCAAGCGUUAUCCGGAUUUACUGGGUGUAAAGGGGGCGCAGACGGCGAUGCAAGCCAGGAGUGAAAGCCCGGGGCGCAACCCCGGGACUGCUCUUGGAACUGCGUGGCUGGAGUGCAGGAGGGGCAGGCGGAAUUCCUGGUGUAGCGGUGAAAUGCGUAGAUAUCAGGAGGAAAAACGGUGGCGAAGGCGGCCUGCUGGACUGCAACUGACGUUGAGGCCCGAAAGCGUGGGGAGCAAACAGGAUUAGAUACCCGGGUAGUC